CGAACGCUGGCGGCGUGGUUUAGGCAUGCAAGUCGAACGAUCUGCUGUAAUGUAGAAAGUGGCAAAAGGGUGAGUAAUGCGUGGGUAAUUUACCAUAAGGCUAGGAAUAACCUGCUGAAAAGCGGGCUAAUACCUGAUAAGACCACAUUUCGAACACGGAGAGUGGUUAAAGCCGGGGACCCCAACAGGGCCUGGCACCUUUUGAUGAGCCCACGUCCUAUCAGCUAGUUGGUGGGGUAAUGGCCUACCAAGGCAUUUGACGGGUAGCUGGUCUGAGAGGAUGGUCAGCCACACUGGGACUGAGACACUGCCCAGACUCCUACGGGAGGCUGCAGUCGAGAAUCUUUUGCAAUGCGCGAAAGCGUGACAAUGCGACGCCGCGUGAGCGAUGAAGUUCUUCGGAAUGUAAAGCUCUGUCAGCUCGGAUGAAUGUCAUAUACUGAAUAAUUAUAUGAUUUGACGGUACGAGCAGAGGAAGCAACGGCUAACUCC
This 492-nucleotide ribosomal RNA is filed under the name uncultured bacterium. RNAcentral's name for it is "bacterial SSU rRNA". It matches the Rfam family "Bacterial small subunit ribosomal RNA", at positions 30 to 504 of the family's 1533-position model. The record is from RNAcentral.